AUUGAACGCUGGCGGCAGGCUUAACACAUGCCAGUCGUGCGGGGUGAUGGUGCUUGCACUAUCACUUAGCGGCGGACGUGCGAGUAAUGCUAAGACAUCUGCCCCUUAGUGGGGGACAACAUCUCGAAAGGGAUGCUAAUACCGCAUACGUCCUACGGGCGAAAGCAGGGGAUCUUCGGACCUUGCGCCAACAGAUGCGCCUAAGUCGGAUUAGCUAGUUGGUGGGGUAAAGGCCUACCAAGGCGACGAUCUGUAGCGGUUCUGAGAGGAUGAGCCGGCACACUGGAACUGAGACACGACCCAGACUCCUACGGGAUGCAUGAGUGGGGAAGAUUGGACGAUGGGGGGAACCCUGAUCCAGCCAUGCCGCGUGUGUGAAGAAGGCCUUAUGGUUGUAAAGCACUUUAAGCGAGGAGGAGGCUACUCUAGUUAAUACCUAGGGAUAGUGGACGUUACUCGCAGAAUAAGCACCGGCUAACUCUGUGCCAGCCGCCGCAGUAA
This 501-nucleotide ribosomal RNA is filed under the name uncultured bacterium. RNAcentral describes it as "partial 16S ribosomal RNA". It matches the Rfam family "Bacterial small subunit ribosomal RNA", at positions 30 to 523 of the family's 1533-position model. The record is from RNAcentral.